CUGGUUUCAAAGAGACACUCACGUUUUGUACUGAUGCCACCUAGGAAUGUCCACAUUCACUGUCACACUGCUAAGCGGAGCAAGGAUCUAACAUGACUAGAUGCUUCAAGUUCUGUUGCCUCCCCUAUGAUGAUGGAUCAUAACCUGGAACUGUGAACACCGUCUUUGGAAAAUCUUAAAAGAGAAC
This is a long non-coding RNA of Nannospalax galili (Upper Galilee mountains blind mole rat), 187 nucleotides long. RefSeq lists it as uncharacterized. The transcript is spliced from 3 exons. NCBI's taxonomy places the organism in Eukaryota, Metazoa, Chordata, Mammalia, Rodentia, Spalacidae. The record is from RefSeq and is a predicted model, not a curated record.